GACGAACGCUGGCGGCGUGCUUAACACAUGCAAGUCGAACGGAAAGGCCCUGCUUUUGUGGGGUGCUCGAGUGGCGAACGGGUGAGUAACACGUGAGUAACCUGCCCUUGACUUUGGGAUAACUUCAGGAAACUGGGGCUACUACCGGAUAGGAGCUCCUGCUGCAUGGUGGGGGUUGGAAAGUUUCGGCGGUUGGGGAUGGACUCGCGGCUUAUCAGCUUGUUGGUGGGGUAGUGGCUUACCCAGGCUUUGACGGGUAGCCGGCCUGAGAGGGUGAACGGCCACAUUGGGACUGAGAUACGGCCCAGACUGCUACGGGAGGCAGCAGUGGGGAAUAUUGCACAAUGGGCGGAAGCCUGAUGAAGCAACGCCGCGUGCGGGAUGACGGCCUUCGGGUUGUAAACCGCUUUCGCCUGUGACGAAGCGUGAGUGACGGUAAUGGGUAAAGAAGCACCGGCUAACUACGUG
This 468-nucleotide ribosomal RNA is filed under the name uncultured bacterium. RNAcentral's name for it is "partial 16S ribosomal RNA". It matches the Rfam family "Bacterial small subunit ribosomal RNA", at positions 28 to 507 of the family's 1533-position model. The record is from RNAcentral.